This 506-nucleotide ribosomal RNA is filed under the name uncultured bacterium. RNAcentral's name for it is "partial 16S ribosomal RNA". It matches the Rfam family "Bacterial small subunit ribosomal RNA", at positions 29 to 523 of the family's 1533-position model. The record is from RNAcentral.
AGCGAACGCUGGCGGCAGGCCUAACACAUGCAAGUCGAACGGCAGCACAGAGGAGCUUGCUCCUUGGGUGGCGAGUGGCGGACGGGUGAGGAAUACAUCGGAAUCUACUCUGUCGUGGGGGAUAACGUAGGGAAACUUACGCUAAUACCGCAUACGACCUACGGGUGAAAGCAGGGGAUCUUCGGACCUUGCGCGAUUGAAUGAGCCGAUGUCGGAUUAGCUAGUUGGCGGGGUAAAGGCCCACCAAGGCGACGAUCCGUAGCUGGUCUGAGAGAAUGAUCAGCCACACUGGAACGGAGACACGGUCCAGACUCCUACGGGAGGCAGCAGUGGGGAAUGUUGGACAAUGGGCGCAAGCCUGAUCCAGCCAUACCGCGUGGGUGAAGAAGGCCUUCGGGUUGUAAAGCCCUUUUGUUGGGAAAGAAAUCCAUCUGGUUAAUACCCGGGUGGGAUGACGGUACCCAAAGAAUAAGCACCGGCUAACUUCGUGCCAGCAGCCGCCGUAA